GACAGAGGGUGCGAACGUUGUUCGGAAUUACUGGGCGUAAAGCGCGUGUAGGCGGCUAAGUGGGUCGGGUGUGAAAGCCCUGGGCUUAACCUAGGAAGUGCAUUCGAAACUGUUUAGCUCGAGUUCCGGAGAGGAUGGUGGAAUUCUCGGUGUAGAGGUGAAAUUCGUAGAUAUCGAGAGGAACACCGGUGGCGGAGGCGGCCAUCUGGACGGAAACUGACGCUGAGACGCGAAAGCGUGGGUAGCAAACAGG
RNAcentral lists this ribosomal RNA (253 nucleotides) under uncultured bacterium. RNAcentral describes it as "partial 16S ribosomal RNA". It matches the Rfam family "Bacterial small subunit ribosomal RNA", at positions 524 to 776 of the family's 1533-position model. The record is from RNAcentral.